RNAcentral lists this unclassified non-coding RNA (276 nucleotides) under Hevea brasiliensis (rubber tree). Lineage: Eukaryota; Viridiplantae; Streptophyta; Magnoliopsida; Malpighiales; Euphorbiaceae. The record is from RNAcentral.
ACAGGACUUACCUGAUGGCAAGGUGAGGGAUUGAUCUAUGCUUUGUCUCUCACCUUUUGUCUUUCCAUGAUCCAUCCCAUGCGUAGCAGAGCUGAUUUAGAGUUUUAUAUUUGGUUAUUUCUACUGUUAUUGGUGGUUUGUUGUGGUUUAGAGUUUUAUAUUGAUUAGUUGUCUCUACUUUGAUUGGUUGUUUUUUUAUUUUUAUAUUGGGUUUUGAUUAUUUUGAAUCUAAUUUGAUUUAGAGUUUAGUUUUGCAUUUGUGGGUUUGGUUUAAAA